GUAGGGUGAACCUGCGGAAGGAUCAUAG
Molecule: ribosomal RNA, 28 nt
Filed under: Tulasnella sp.
Lineage: Eukaryota; Fungi; Basidiomycota; Agaricomycetes; Cantharellales; Tulasnellaceae
Description: partial 18S ribosomal RNA
Source: RNAcentral